CAACAAAGGCGUUUAGACUUCAAGGAAAAAACUUUGUUUUGGUAGGGUGACCCUCCGGGUGAACUGGCCGUACCCCAAACUGAAACAGGUUGACGAGUAGAGUAUACUAGUGCUUAAGAGAAUCAUGUUGAAGGAACUCGGUAAAAGACCCCGUAACUUCAGGAGAAGGGGGCUAUCGUAUCUUGUGAUUAAGGAAGCGGCACAUACCUGGGGGUAUCUAUUUUUCAUAAAAUCACUGGAUUCUGCUGUGUGGCAACAUGAUGUAUAGAGUAUUGACACCUCGCAGAAGGUCGGCCAGAAAAGUGUUAAACCACAUGUAAGAGAGGGAGGCACAUUAUGAUAUUUAUAAACAUGGUUUAGAGUCUUACCUAACAUUAGCAAAAGGAACAUAG
Molecule: non-coding RNA, 392 nt
Filed under: Beta vulgaris subsp. vulgaris (sugar beet)
Lineage: Eukaryota; Viridiplantae; Streptophyta; Magnoliopsida; Caryophyllales; Amaranthaceae
Description: Bacterial large subunit ribosomal RNA
Rfam family: Bacterial large subunit ribosomal RNA
Source: Rfam by way of RNAcentral